This 120-nucleotide unclassified non-coding RNA is filed under the name uncultured Dothideomycetes. Its description in RNAcentral is "sequence contains ITS1". The record is from RNAcentral. Lineage: Eukaryota; Fungi; Ascomycota; Dothideomycetes.
ACGAGCGCUGCCUUCGGGCAACCCUCCCACCCUAUGUUAACGUACCUGUUGCUCUGGCAGCUUGCCGGAGCCUCUAAACUCUAUUAAGAUGUCGUCUGAGUAUACAAACAAAAUUUGUCA